RNAcentral lists this long non-coding RNA (690 nucleotides) under Selaginella moellendorffii. RNAcentral's name for it is "long non-coding RNA (SMOE_LNC001263)". Lineage: Eukaryota; Viridiplantae; Streptophyta; Lycopodiopsida; Selaginellales; Selaginellaceae. The record is from RNAcentral.
CUCGCUGCUCGAGCGCCCUAGCAAGAAGCCCUUCCCGGAUUUGGGAGUUAGGAGGACGGGAUCUCGUGCUCGAUUGCGGCUCAAUCACUUUGCCUCUGUUCGAAGCCCCGGCCUCAACCUGGUGGGAUAUUAUUCAAGCGAGUGUGGAAAUGUUGAGUGGCUCGCAAGUUCACUCUGGUGGUUGAUCGUGAGAUCCACACAACCCAUUUUUUCUCUUCCACAGAGCAAGGUCUGUUGAAACUUAAUCACCCUUCUUUCUUGCUCUUUUGCUGGCCCAGAAAGAAGUAGUAAUAACGCAUGGAUUGUGAUCCACAGAUGUUCCGAAACCUGGGCUGCUGUUAGCCGCAACUCAACCGUCUUCAAGAUCGAAUAGCUCCGAAACAUUCGACUAGUGGACACAAUUUACACAUACUCCCGUUGCCCGGAUCGUUUUUCAGUUUGACCAUGAUGGCCACAUUUCAUGGUACUAUUUGGCCAUUACGAAUUAAAAGGAUUGAUAUCGAUUCUCGACCUAUGAUCUUGGUUUCUUUCCCUGGGUACUGAUUGAAAGAAAUGGCAUAGCACUUGGGCGGUAAAACUAAACCAUUUUGCAAAAUAAAUAUUAGAUACAAUAAGGCAUAUACUUAACUAGUAGCGGGCCUGAGCUUACCCUGGCGUGCGUGGGGAAACUCAAAUCUGAAUAGAGGCAAU